RNAcentral lists this non-coding RNA (23 nucleotides) under Rattus norvegicus (Norway rat). Lineage: Eukaryota; Metazoa; Chordata; Mammalia; Rodentia; Muridae. The record is from RNAcentral.
UCAAGUCCAGCUCACCUGACAUA